UCUAAUAUAAACCUCCUACAUAGCACGGACAAUCUCCUCAUGUUGAGCAUGUAUUUAUCGAUCAGAUGACCGAGAAUACAAAACGAUAUUGUUACUUUGAGCCAUUUGUUGGUCGAGAUCAAGAGUAAUAAUACCAACUAUAAGUUAAUUAUUAACAUCUGCAAUAAAUGGUUGGUUUAUAUAAAAAGGUGAAAUUUCUUACAAGAUAUAAUCUUGUGGGUUAAUGUUUAUAUUAAAAAAAUAAAAUCAUGAUAUAAAAUCGCAUGUCCAAACACUAAUUUCAUAUCAUGAUCUCAAAUUACAAGAUGAAAUCACAUAUUCAAAUUCCUACUAACUAAAUGUAUAAUAAUUUUGACGAACACCAUAUUUUUUUUUGACGAAAACCCAAUUCUAUUGCUCCGACUUGGUAUUAGGUAACUUAGAUAAAAUUUCUCAUUUUUAACCUCCUCUUCCCCUUCUAGUUAUUCUUAUCCAAAAAUCCUACGUGUUCGUUAUAAUUGUCAUAUCUUUAUCCGAGUUAAUAAAUACCCCUAGAACAAAAAACAUAUGUGUUAUGAAUUUGAAUCAUCAAGAAAAUAAAAUAGAAAGAGAGCUUUUAAGAUAUUUUUUACUUUUUAGAUAUAAAUGUGAUAUUUUGGGGGGCAAUAAACUAUAAAUUAUUACCAUACCAUCAAUCAAUUACACCUAAGAGCGUCUAUACCCUUGGUUGUCAAAAAACAAAAUUUAGUGAACCUCAGAGCUAAUUAUAAAUUGCAAAAAGUAAAUGACUACACUAUCUCCUUCUCUUAGUUCCUUUGAACAUGUCUACCCUUUCUUUAACUACACUUUGGACUUGUUGAGCCACAAAAUUUGUCUGUACAAUUACCCCUUUUAAAAUUUUGUAAUUCCUAGUUAGCCAUGCUUGAUAUACUACUGCUCUUUAUCCUUUAGGGUGUCUUGCACACAUUGUGGUUCCAAAUUUAUUCCAAUAUACGUUUUAAUUACCCUUCAAGCAUCCCUAAACUAUAUACAUUCAGGACGCGCAUAAGUAUACAUUACACAUUCAACAUUACCCUAUCCAGCACCUAUCAUCUACAACCUAUCUUUGAAAUGUCAUCAAAUGGUUCAAAUGUCAUCAGGUUGUGAUCUUUUCUUUCUCAAAUGCAGCCUGAGUUUGGUUGACUAAACUAUGUAGCACUUGUUUAAGUCUACUAUACAUCAAUUUGGAGAUAUAUUUGCACACAAUAUUAAAGCAGGCAAAUGGUGAACUAACUUGCAUUUACAUGCUUAUUCACCUCAGGAAUUAAGAUGAUUACUAUGGCAUUAAGUUGUUGCAACAACUUACUAUUCUAAAAAAAAUCCAGAAUUACAUCUGUUAGCUAUGCCCUUACUAUAUCCCAAGAGUCUCUGAGGAAACCACUAUUAUAGCUUUCUUUACUUUCUUCAUUUUAUAACCAUUAAGUAAUGUCAUUUGUUAGGACACUAUCAAAAAACCAUAGAUAGUGUAGUCCCAAUCUUUAGGAACAUCUGGCAAGCUUUAUGUCUUGGUGUUUUUCCUAUUUCUCCAAGAAGUUUAGUGCAGUUCUGGAGAAAGAUCUCAAUAAUCUUUUGUGGCUCAGUAUGGGUUUACGUAUGAUCAUCUUGCAAUUGUAUCACUACCUGAGCUAGGCUUCUCUACUUUAGAACUGAGUAAAAGUACUUAGUAACAUCACCAAGCCAGAUCUAUGUAGCUUUGCUUCUUUGAACCAAUUGUUUUUCUGCCAUAUAACUCACUUUCUUGAACUCUUUUCCAACAUCUCUUUCUCCUUAUGCAAGUGAUGAUUACGGGUAUCAUUUUGUAACUUGUUAUGGACAUCUAAUAGCUUCCCUCUAAGGUCAGUUACUUCAGCCAAUAUAUUACUUAAAUGCUAAAAGUGUAUCCCCUCAGUACAAUUUUCAGCUUCUUAAGUUUAGUGGUGACUUUAUAUAUAUAAUGGCCUUUGACCUGGUACAGUUAUCCCUCUCUCAUCAUACAAUGGCCUUUGACCUGGUACAGUUAUCCCUGUCUCAUCAAGUUCUGAAACUAUUGGUGUUGACUCUACAUAUUAGAGUACUUAAAAAGAGGUCUUUUCCUUGGCACAAUACCUUCAAGUUUAACAUGAAUUGAGCUAUGGUCACUUACCCCUUCAUUGAGGAAAUAAUAGUUACACCUAAGCAUCUCAUCUACCCAUACACUAUUUAUUAAAGACCAGUCAAUAAUACCCUAUUAGUUUCUCCUUUAUCAUUCCAAGUUUAAUUACACCUAGUACUAUCUAUUUCCUCUUACAAACAAGUAUUUAGGCAUUUUUGAAAAUCAACUAGCUCUGCUAAAGAGACAAGGUUGCCCCCUACUCUAUCCCCACUAUGCUAUACUGAAUUGUAAUCCCAUAAAACCAACCAAGGGAUGUGCAUCCCAAUACUCAACUUACACAAAUAACUUCAUAGGUCUUUUCUUUCCCCUCUUCCAUUGUGGGCAUGUACAAAAGUGACAUGAAUUUUUGUUGUAGUUUAAAAUCUUUGACUAAGCAUGUCACAGCUUGAGCAUUCUUAGAACAAAUAGUAACUUCAGGUUUAUCUUCUCUCCAAUCAACCCAAAUUCUCCCAUUAUAGUGAGAGACGCGAUCAGAGUGAUACUUUUAGCCACUAAACAUACUAUCUGCUAUAUUUAUCUUAGCCUCAAGUAGACCAAAUAUAUAAGUUUUAACUGAUUACAGAAGAAUUUUACCUCGCUUUAUUUUAUGAGACCUCUAACAUUUCAACAGAUUAGGUUAACUAGUCCCCACAGAGAUUGGUCUAGUAUCAACCAUAUUUUUCACUCCAGUGUAUUCCACUUCCACAUGCUGCUCAAAGGUUUGAAAAGAGUUUGUUGUAGGAAUUGUUGAGGAAGAUGGAGGUUGUACAUUUCUCUUAAACACUCUCCUCUGAAUUCUAUUUCCUACAAUUUUUGCUCUUGGACCUUUUUCUUCCCUCUACCAACUUGAGUUGCAAUUGGUUUCCUCUCCAGCUGGUUACCUUUGGAUCUAGUUGCUUUUCGAGGUGUAAUUUCCUACAUUCCUCUAUUUUAUGACUAUACAUAUGAUAGUGUUCACAUAUGGAAGGCUUCCAAUCAUAAGUCACCUUCUGUGUGAGCCACUACUCUCUUUUCAUUCUUAAACAACACUUCAUCAGGAAAAUCUCCAUCCACCCUGACCUCAACAAGUAGCUUUCCAAAGCUUAAGCCCAGUUUUUUUAGGGUGUUGGUCAACCAUCAAAGGCUUCCCCACUAAGCUGCCUAUCUUACUAAGUCCUCUAACACUCUAGUAUUUAAAAUCUAAUCUGGAUAGCUUAAUCCAUAUAGGAACAGUCAAUAAUUACUCCUUCAAAAACUCCAUCUCUUGGGACUAAGCUUUGAUAAUAAGAGGUUUAUUGUCAAAAUAGUAGUUACCUCCUUGUAGAAUCUUUAAUUUACCCUCUUCUGUGUCAAAUCGAACCAAAACAAUACCAUAUUUCCCCAUAUAUCCAUUGUAUGUAACUAUUUAAGACAAAAAGGGAGGGUGAUAUCCUAGGACUUAACAGACAAUAAUGCUUUGCCAAUGAUCUAAUUCAGAGCUAAUAUCAUCCAAUUAAAUUUCCCCUAUCAGUUCGUCUCCUAUACUCUCAGGGUUAACAUAUUACAGUUUGAAACAUGAAUUAGCAAGUUUUGAUAUGUCGAAAGUUUUCCAAAUUGAAUUUACCUUCACAACAUGCCUUUUCUCAGAUCCCCUCAUCUGUGUGCCCCUAUUUAGCUGGUCAUCAACUUGAUCCAUCUCGUUUCCUCAUGAUAUUUUUGAACUUGCUCCAGAGAUAUGUUAUGUCCAUUCUUAGACUGUAGCUUCCACCAGAGUAGGAGGUAUCACUGGUGUAGAUAAAUUAGUUUGGGUCAUAAUUCUCGUGAUACUUUAUUGGUCAAUAAUCGCUAUUGCUCCAUGAGGCUUUGUUGGAAGAGGACCUCAAUUGAUUGACGUUUCCGAAUAAGAAUUGGAUGAUCACUUUUCACCGACAAGCUUGCCAUUGAACUUUUCGUCAGGGUUGCGUUCUUCGAUCUCCUCCCAUGGCUGGCGCACGUUAGUUACGUCAAAACAUCCACAUGUUAUUAUUAUUUAAAAUAUAAAAAAACUACAUAAACUAAC
Molecule: long non-coding RNA, 4145 nt
Filed under: Capsicum annuum
Lineage: Eukaryota; Viridiplantae; Streptophyta; Magnoliopsida; Solanales; Solanaceae
Description: long non-coding RNA (CANN_LNC005488)
Source: RNAcentral